CGGAUUCUCUCCAUCACCCCUUGUCUCCUUCUCUCUCCUUCCCCAAAACUAGCCACUUGAUCAAAGAUCAAGGGUUGGCGCAGCGUAGCUUGCAUACGCGCGCACACGGGAACACACUCUCAUUUCUCCCCUUUCUUUCUCUCUCUUCUCUUUCUCACUCUCACGAUCUCUCUUCUCCCCUCUCUCAAACUUCAUCCUCUUCCUCAAGAACAUUCAUCAAUGUUCUUCAUCCAAACCCUGUUUCCGGCGACCAACCACCUUUACACCUAGACUCCGGUGGCUUCAGCGCCAUGACGACCGUCGCGAAGGAAAACCCAAAAUAAUUCCAAAUUAUUUGUAAAACCCUUAUUUAACCUCCCUAAACACAAAUAAAAUCCUAAAACUACGAAAAACAAUAAAAAAAAGAGAGAGACACAGAGGCUGGCAAAGCAGCGGCAAGUGACAACAGGUGACGCGGUGGUGAUAAAUUUCAGGUUGAAGUUGUCAUCAUAGUUGUGGCUUUGUGAGGGAUAUAGAUGAAUGAUAAGUGGUUGAUUUAGGAGUAUAUAUUGUAUCAUAUUGUUCGGAAGUGUAGUCAAUGGUUGUAUCAUAUUGGUUUGGUUUUUGGCAAAUCUAAGGUAAAAGUUUCAAGUUUUGUUCUCAAAUUACUUUUGUUACUAAACCAAUAAACCAGAAAAAUCAAGAAAAUUUGUUUAUGA
Long non-coding RNA from Trifolium pratense (red clover), 698 nucleotides. RefSeq lists it as uncharacterized. The transcript has 2 exons. The record is from RefSeq and is a predicted model, not a curated record. NCBI's taxonomy places the organism in Eukaryota, Viridiplantae, Streptophyta, Magnoliopsida, Fabales, Fabaceae.